Molecule: ribosomal RNA, 1196 nt
Filed under: Alternaria sp. 'sect. Ulocladioides'
Lineage: Eukaryota; Fungi; Ascomycota; Dothideomycetes; Pleosporales; Pleosporaceae
Description: partial large subunit ribosomal RNA
Rfam family: Eukaryotic large subunit ribosomal RNA
Source: RNAcentral
AUAUUUAAGAGACAACAGGGAUGCCCUAGUAACGGCGAGUGAAGCGGCAACAGCUCAAAUUUGAAAUCUGGCUCUUUUAGAGUCCGAGUUGUAAUUUGCAGAGGGCGCUUUGGCUUUGGCAGCGGUCCAAGUUCCUUGGAACAGGACGUCACAGAGGGUGAGAAUCCCGUACGUGGUCGCUGGCUAUUGCCGUGUAAAGCCCCUUCGACGAGUCGAGUUGUUUGGGAAUGCAGCUCUAAAUGGGAGGUACAUUUCUUCUAAAGCUAAAUAUUGGCCAGAGACCGAUAGCGCACAAGUAGAGUGAUCGAAAGAUGAAAAGCACUUUGGAAAGAGAGUCAAACAGCACGUGAAAUUGUUAAAAGGGAAGCGCUUGCAGCCAGACUUGCUUGCAGUUGCUCAUCCGGGCUUUUGCCCGGUGCACUCUUCUGUAGGCAGGCCAGCAUCAGUUUGGGCGGUAGGAUAAAGGUCUCUGUCACGUACCUCCUUUCGGGGAGGCCUUAUAGGGGAGACGACAUACUACCAGCCUGGACUGAGGUCCGCGCAUCUGCUAGGAUGCUGGCGUAAUGGCUGUAAGCGGCCCGUCUUGAAACACGGACCAAGGAGUCUAACAUCUAUGCGAGUGUUUGGGUGUCAAGCCCGAGCGCGUAAUGAAAGUGAACGGAGGUGGGAACCCGCAAGGGUGCACCAUCGACCGAUCCUGAUGUCUUCGGAAGGAUUUGAGUAAGAGCAUGGCUGUUGGGACCCGAAAGAUGGUGAACUAUGCUUGAAUAGGGUGAAGCCAGAGGAAACUCUGGUGGAGGCUCGCAGCGGUUCUGACGUGCAAAUCGAUCGUCAAAUUUGGGCAUAGGGGCGAAGACUAAUCGAACUAUCUAGUAGCUGGUCUGCGAUCCUCUUCCCCUCGAAGAAAACAGCUUCUAGAGAUGGUUGCAUUAGUCUCUUUGCCCUAUGCCCAAAUUGACGAUCGAUUGCACGUAAGAACCGCAGCUAGCUCCAACAAUAGUUUUCCGUCUGCCUUCAUCUAUCAGGCUAAGUACAGUGCGUUACGGGUCGACGUCAAGUCUUUACCAAAUCAUCAGAAGAUAGGAGGGGACCGUUCCCCUUCGGUAGCUCGCGUCACUCAAUACCAUGUGGAACACACUCAAGUGGAUCGAGUCGUAGAGCUAAGUAGCCUGUGACCGUCCAAUCGAGAGUGUCCU